UGAGGUGAAGGUCUCCUGGUGAUUAUUUUAGUGAUUUUUAUACACUAAGUAGCUAACAACAGAACAGAACAGAACAGAUAUGGCCUUAGAAUUGGGUUUCCCAGCAGUAGCUAUUGGCAUUGUUGUGGUUGCAGCGUCUGCUAUACUUGCCAAGACUUACAUCUAUGACAACAAGACGAAAAAAACACCAGUCGAACAAUUAAAACAAGACUUACAAAGUACUGGGAAAAAAAUAGACAAAGAGGUUAACAAAGUAGUAAAGGAUGUAAAAGACAAGUGCAAGGAUUGAUUUAAACAUUUGUAUUGUACUUUUGAAGUUAAACAAAAAUUAGACAUGCCUCUGUGUGAACAGUUUAUUUAUAAAAUUGAGGAUAAGUAAAAA
Mytilus trossulus (common blue mussel) is the source of this 382-nucleotide long non-coding RNA. RefSeq lists it as uncharacterized. The record is from RefSeq and is a predicted model, not a curated record. The transcript is spliced from 3 exons. NCBI's taxonomy places the organism in Eukaryota, Metazoa, Mollusca, Bivalvia, Mytilida, Mytilidae.